Molecule: ribosomal RNA, 356 nt
Filed under: Lactiplantibacillus pentosus
Lineage: Bacteria; Bacillati; Bacillota; Bacilli; Lactobacillales; Lactobacillaceae
Description: bacterial SSU rRNA
Rfam family: Bacterial small subunit ribosomal RNA
Source: RNAcentral
GAGUGGCGAACUGGUGAGUAACACGUGGGAAACCUGCCCAGAAGCGGGGGAUAACACCUGGAAACAGAUGCUAAUACCGCAUAACAACUUGGACCGCAUGGUCCGAGUUUGAAAGAUGGCUUCGGCUAUCACUUUUGGAUGGUCCCGCGGCGUAUUAGCUAGAUGGUGGGGUAACGGCUCACCAUGGCAAUGAUACGUAGCCGACCUGAGAGGGUAAUCGGCCACAUUGGGACUGAGACACGGCCCAAACUCCUACGGGAGGCAGCAGUAGGGAAUCUUCCACAAUGGACGAAAGUCUGAUGGAGCAACGCCGCGUGAGUGAAGAAGGGUUUCGGCUCGUAAAACUCUGUUGUUAA